Sphaerodactylus townsendi is the source of this 368-nucleotide long non-coding RNA. RefSeq lists it as uncharacterized. The record is from RefSeq and is a predicted model, not a curated record. The transcript is spliced from 3 exons. NCBI's taxonomy places the organism in Eukaryota, Metazoa, Chordata, Lepidosauria, Squamata, Sphaerodactylidae.
GUUUGCAGAGAGCCUUAGAAGGAGUGGUGGCUGAUCAACAAUCAACUUUUGACAUGCUUAGAAGGAGAGGAAGAGUCGAAUCAUAUUGAUCAAAUGAUUGUCUCCAGAAUGAUGUAGUGGAUAAAAGCAGAAGACUUUUAAUUUGGAGAACUGGGUUUCGUUCCUCGCUCCUCUACAUGAGUAGUGGAUUCUAAUCUGAUGAACCAGGCCCACUGCUUUCCCAGUCGAAUAGGAACCAGACCCCCAGACCCACUGAACGGGAAGCCUAGGCUGCACUCGCAACUGCAAAACGGAAGAAUGCGCAGGCAGCCACACGCUAUGGAAACGAGGGCACAUAAUCGACAUCCAAACCUCUAAUAAAGGAGAUC